GACGAACGCUGGCGGCGUGCCUAAUACAUGCAAGUAGAACGCUGAAGAGAGGAGCUUACUCUUCUUGGAUGAGUUGCGAACGGGUGAGUAACGCGUAGGUAACCUGCCUUGUAGCGGGGGAUAACUAUUGGAAACGAUAGCUAAUACCGCAUAACAAUGGAUGACACAUGUCAUUUAUUUGAAAGGGGCAAUUGCUCCACUACAAGAUGGACCUGCGUUGUAUUAGCUAGUAGGUGAGGUAAUGGCUCACCUAGGCGACGAUACAUAGCCGACCUGAGAGGGUGAUCGGCCACACUGGGACUGAGACACGGCCCAGACUCCUACGGGAGGCAGCAGUAGGGAAUCUUCGGCAAUGGGGGCAACCCUGACCGAGCAACGCCGCGUGAGUGAAGAAGGGUUUCGGAUCGUAAAGCUCUGUUGUGAGUCAAGAACGGGUGUGAGAGUGGAAAGUUCACACUGUGACGGUAGCUUACCAGAAAGGGACGGCUAACUACGUG
This 497-nucleotide ribosomal RNA is filed under the name uncultured bacterium. RNAcentral's name for it is "partial 16S ribosomal RNA". It matches the Rfam family "Bacterial small subunit ribosomal RNA", at positions 28 to 507 of the family's 1533-position model. The record is from RNAcentral.